RNAcentral lists this ribosomal RNA (1105 nucleotides) under Trachelomonas bernardinensis. RNAcentral describes it as "partial large subunit ribosomal RNA". It matches the Rfam family "Eukaryotic large subunit ribosomal RNA", at positions 2172 to 2939 of the family's 3401-position model. The record is from RNAcentral. Lineage: Eukaryota; Euglenozoa; Euglenophyceae; Euglenales; Euglenaceae.
AGCAGGCUGGUCCAUGAGGUGACUUCUGCCCAGUGCUCUGAUUGUCAAUGCGAAGAGAUUCAGCCAAGCGCGGGUAAACGGCGGGAGUAACUAUGACUCUCUUAAGGUAGCCAAAUGCCUCGUCAACCAAUUAUUGACGCGCAUGAAUGGAUCAACGAGAUUCCUGCUGUCCCUAGUUGCCGUCUGGUGAACCAACAGCCAAGGGAACGGGCUUGGAUGUGUCAGCGGGGAAAGAAGACCCUGUUGAGUUUGACUCUAGUUUGAUGCUGUGCAGUGACAUGGAGGGUGUAGCACAGGUGGGAGGCAAGUGCCAAUCGCCACAGGGAGGACUCCGGUCCAUUCGCCAUCGCCACAGGGUGGACUUCGGUCCGUUUGCCAUUGCCACAGGGUGGACUUCGGUCCUUUGCCAUAUUCCAGACCAUCGGGGUGUUGGCAGUGGGAGACUGCUGACAUUCGUCUCGCAGCUUGCUGCAUCAUCGGGGAAAGAAGACCACAGAUGUUGUGUCUGCAGGACCUCUGGUCCAUUCGAUGUCGGCUCUUCCAAACAGAGAUGUUGUGCCUUGGUGCAAACCAGCAGUGAAAUACCACUACCUUCACCGUCGCUUUACUCAUUGAGUGAUCUGGGAUCGGCGGCCAUUCAAUCAGCUCUUCCCUCGCGGAGGGGCUGUGGCCAAGAACCGCUUCGUGCACCAAGCGUCGUACCUUGUGUGCGGCGCGACCCUGGAGUCGCAUUCCAAUCAGAAGCCUUGAGACAUCGAUCAGUUGGGGAGUUUGGCUGGGGCGGCACGCCUGUUACAGGACAACGCAGGCGUCCUGAAGCAAUGCUCAGAUGGAACAGAAAUCUCUCAUGGAGGAGCAGGCCAAAGGUGCUGCUGAUGCUGCGACUUUCAGUGCAAGUCCAAAACGUGCAAGUGUGGCCUAGCGAUCCUUUGGUUGAGUGCACGAGUUUGGGAUAUUGAAGCCAGAGGUGUCAGAAAAAUUACCACAGGGAUAACUGGCUUGUGGCUGCCAAGCGUUCAAAGCGACGUCGCUUUUUGAUCCUUCGAUGUCGGCUCUUCCUAGCUUCCCACCCGCAGCCGAGUGGAAGAGUUGGAUUGUUCACCCA